This 253-nucleotide ribosomal RNA is filed under the name uncultured bacterium. Its description in RNAcentral is "partial 16S ribosomal RNA". It matches the Rfam family "Bacterial small subunit ribosomal RNA", at positions 524 to 776 of the family's 1533-position model. The record is from RNAcentral.
UACGUAGGGUGCAAGCGUUAAUCGGAAUUACUGGGCGUAAAGCGUGCGCAGGCGGUGAUGUAAGACAGAUGUGAAAUCCCCGGGCUUAACCUGGGAACUGCGUUUGAAACUGGGGAGCUGGAGUGUAGAAGAGGGGGGUGGAAUUCCAGGUGUAGCAGUGAAAUGCGUAGAGAUCUGGAGGAACACCGAUGGCGAAGGCAGCCCCCUGGGCUAACACUGACGCUCAUGCACGAAAGCGUGGGGAGCAAACAGG